GGGUCAGUAGGUUGGUCGUGCCACCGGUACGUACUGGUCUCACUGAUUCCUCCUUCCUGAAGAAUCGUAAUGCCAUUAAUUUGGUGUUGCGGGGAAACAGGACUGUUACUUUGAAAAAAUUAGAGUGUUUAAAGCAAGCCAACGCUUGAAUACAUUAGCAUGGAAUAAUGAAAUAGGACGAUCGAUCCUAUUUUGUUGGUUUCUAGGAUUGACGUA
Molecule: ribosomal RNA, 216 nt
Filed under: Glomeromycotina sp.
Lineage: Eukaryota; Fungi; Glomeromycota
Description: partial small subunit ribosomal RNA
Rfam family: Eukaryotic small subunit ribosomal RNA (bases 40-216)
Source: RNAcentral